AUUGAACGCUGGCGGCAUGCCUUACACAUGCAAGUCGAACGGUAACGGGUCCUUCGGGCUGCCGACGAGUGGCGAACGGGUGAGUAAUAUAUCGGAACGUGCCCAGUAGUGGGGGAUAACUGCUCGAAAGAGCAGCUAAUGCCGCAUACGACCUGAGGGUGAAAGGGGGGGAUCGCAAGACCUCUCGCUAUUGGAGCGGCCGAUAUCAGAUUAGCUAGUUGGUGGGGUAAAGGCCUACCAAGGCAACGAUCUGUAGUUGGUCUGAGAGGACGACCAGCCACACUGGGACUGAGACACGGCCCAGACUCCUACGGGAGGCAGCAGUGGGGAAUUUUGGACAAUGGGCGCAAGCCUGAUCCAGCAAUGCCGCGUGCAGGAAGAAGGCCUUCGGGUUGUAAACUGCUUUUGUCAGGGAAGAAAUCUUCUGGGCUAAUACCCCGGGAGGAUGACGGUACCUGAAGAAUAAGCACCGGCUAACUACGUG
Molecule: ribosomal RNA, 484 nt
Filed under: uncultured bacterium
Lineage: Bacteria
Description: partial 16S ribosomal RNA
Rfam family: Bacterial small subunit ribosomal RNA
Source: RNAcentral